This 253-nucleotide ribosomal RNA is filed under the name uncultured bacterium. RNAcentral's name for it is "partial 16S ribosomal RNA". It matches the Rfam family "Bacterial small subunit ribosomal RNA", at positions 524 to 776 of the family's 1533-position model. The record is from RNAcentral.
GACGAACCGUGCGAACGUUGUUCGGAUUCACUGGGCUUAAAGGGCGCGUAGGCGGGCGACCAAGUCAGGGGUGAAAUCUUUCGGCCCAACCGGAAAAGUGCCCCUGAUACUGGCCGCCUCGAGGGGGGUAGGGGCAUGCGGAACUUCCGGUGGAGCGGUGAAAUGCGUAGAUAUCGGAAGGAACGCCGGUGGCGAAAGCGGCGUGCUGGACCGCUUCUGACGCUGGGGCGCGAAAGCCAGGGGAGCAAACGGG